GGCACAGCCUGAGCCUGCAGCUUCCCAGAGGGUGGACCCAACGACUCAGGCAGCAUCAGACGGGCAGACACUCCCGGGUCCCGGCCUCAUCCGGCCUGCGGCAGUUCCUCCCCUUCCCCCACUCUUGCCUGGCACUUACGUCCAGCCCCGCGCGUGCAGUCGGUCCAGAGCCCGGUGUCGCGCCGCGCCGGGCCGCCUCACUUUCCCAGUUCCAGCCAAGAAAACAAAACAGCUACAGGCCGCCGGAUACCCGGAUUGAGCAGCACCGCCCCAGGAGCUCGGUCGCGCAUGCGGAGACGGGGCGGAGGGAGCGGCGCGGGGAGAGAGUAGCACUCGCUGAGGGAGGGCUAGAGAGAGCCACGCCCACCGCGCCGACGUCUCUGGGGAUGCUCGGGGCGCCAGCUGUGGGGACUUUCCGCAGCGCUCAGUUCACAUGUGUACGUCGGAAGUGAUACUUGGGUCCGGCAUUCAAGGUUGUGACAACCAAAAAUGUCUCCAGAUUGCCAGACAUCCCCUCCCGGGGAAAAUCGUCGGGAGAUAGGAUUCGGUUUAGGAGAUACUCUGGGUUAUGGGGAAGUGACCCUUUUCAGAGCUGGCAGCAACGAUGUCUUAGCUACGUGAACGAACUUGUGGCCGGGCUCGCCCGCUCUUCCAGACGCUCUCGUUCCUGUUCCAGCGUCUCGCUGGAGUCGGUCGUGGUCCAGGAGUCAGAGCCCGCCCGGGAGAAGGAGCAGGUCACGGUCUCGGUCCGAAAGGCGCCACCAGAGAAAGUACGGGCGCCACUCGCAGUCUUCCUCGCGGAGCGGGUCGCGAUCCCGCAGGAAGUGCCGCUCUCGGGGAAGGUCGUAUUGCAGAAGGGCCUUCUCGAACACGCAGGGUGACAGUACUAGGGCUUUGACCCUGUAGUGUACCCGAAAGAACACAGCACUUGGAGGGAGAGAUCCAGGAAGAGGUCGCAGAGCAGAACCCCGUUUCCUGUAAAAUGGAGCUAUUAGAAAUAGCAAAAGCAAGCGCAGCUAAAUCAUUCAGAACAACCAACCUUGACUUCCCAGCUAGUCUCAGAACUGUUCCUUGUAGCUAAAGAAAGAAACUGUGGAACAGCUGUACCAAAUACUGCAAAGUUCAAGUUUCUUGUGUCAUAAGUGGGAUCUGAAGACUAUCCCCUGACAAGCCCUGAGGCCGGUGAGUAACCAGGUGCCAGUACCUAACAAGCCCAUUGUGCUUGCUGCUUUCUCAUUGACCAUGGAGUUCUAGGGAUCCCAUCCAGGACAGCACAUUACAUUUAUGUCUCCUGAGGCUCCUCUUAACUGUGACAGUUUCUCAGACUUUCCUUGUUUCUGAUGCACAGAUUUGAGGAGUACUGGUCAGGAAUAUUGCAGGUGUUGGUUAUUUUUUGUAUGUAACAUUUCAUGAUUAAAAAUUACUAAUCAGGGGGACUUCCCUGGUGGUCCAGUGGUUAAGAAUCCAUCUGCCAAUGCAGGGGACACAGGUUCCAUCCCUGGUCUGGGAAGAUCCCAUAUGCCGUGGGGCAGCUAAGCCCGUGCACCACAACUACCAAGCCCGAGCUCUAGAACCCGUGUGCCGCAACUGCUGAGCCUGCGUGCUGCAACUACUGAAGCCUGCACGCCUAGAGCCCGUGCUCCACAACAAGAGAAGCCACUGCAGUGAGAAGCCCACGCACCGCAACGAAGAGUAGCCCCGCUCGCCGCAUCUAGAGAAAAGACUGCGCGCAGCAAUGAAGACCCAGUGCAGCCAAAAAACAAAAAGGAACCUAAGAGUGGUGAUCAUUAAAAAAAAAAAAAAAGAAAAAUUAGUAAUCAGGGACUUCCCUGGCGGUCCAGUGGUUAAGAAUUCGUGCUUCCACUGCAGGGGGCACAGGUUCGAUUCCUGGUUGGGGAACUAAGAUCCCGCAUGCCAUACGGCGCGACCAAAAAGAGAAAAAAAUUACUAAUCAAUUGUGAUAGCAAUACCUGUUGGGCCUACCUUAAAACACACACACACACACACACACACACACACACACACACAACACCUCCAUGCUAUCAAUUUAGUGCAAGCCAGCAUCAUUUCUCACUCUAAUCACUGCAGUUGUCUCUCUGCUCCAUGUUGGGCCUCCACUCCCCCCAUCUUUUCUCCACACAGCAGCCAGAGAGGCUUUAAAAUAUAAAUCAGCUUCUAUUUCUUCUGGUCUCCAGAUGCUUCAAUGGCUUCUUUUCUUGUAGACUAAAAUACACUACAGGAUCCUUCAUGCUCUCAUCACUUAUCACUCUUCCCCCGGCUCACUCUGCUCUGUCAUACUGGCUUCCUUGUAGCCCCUGAAACACACCGCAUUCCUGCCCUAGGACCGUUGCACCUGUCCUUUACCUGGAACGUUCCUCCUCUGCACAGCCACAGGCUCACUCCUCCACUCUUUCUAGUCUCUGCUCAGAUGUCACCUCUUCAGAGAGGCAUUCCCUCGCACCUUAGCUUGCAGCCCGCCCCCCACAAGUUGUCCUCUUUCUCCUUAACUUUUUUUUUUAAUUCAAAAUAUCACUACCUGACAUUACAUUCUACAUCUUAAUUUGUUUAUUGUCUGUCUCUUCCAUUAGAAUACAAGUUUCAUGAGGCCAAGCAGUUAAUACAAUUUGUUUAUUGCUGUAUCUUAGGCUCAAAGUUAACACUCAAUAAAUAUUGGUUACAUUAAUUAGUCAAUAAAGUACUUUUUUUUUUUUUUUUUUUACAAGGAAGUUGGUUGUUAGGUAAGGUGGUUCACAAUCUGGGACUCCUGAACUCCUAGAUAUCUUUGAAGGUGGCAGUUUUCUUAAUUUCUAAAGAUCUGGUCAGACUACAAGUUACUUACAGGGGGAUGGUUCAUUAAUGGAUAUAUCUCCAGAAUCUGGGAUAAUUCCUUGAAUACAUUGAGCACUCAAUAGAGAUACCUGUAUUAUAAUUAACUGGAAUGAAAUUGGCAAUGUGGCAAAGCAAAGUCUUUGUGAUGGCAGCAUAUCUGAAAGGCAGAGGAAUACUGAGAAAGUUUAUGUACGAGGACAAUAAUCACACAUUAAAAUUAUAUAAUGUUUGUUAAUAACACUGUUAUGGACUGAAUUGUGUCUCCAUGCCCCACCCCUCCCCCUGUAGCCCUAACCCUCAUUAUGACUAUAUUUGGAGAUAGAGCCUCUAAGGAAGUCAUUAAGGUUAAAUGAGGUCAUAACAGCGGGGCCCUAAUCUAAUAGAACUAGUGUCCUUAUAAGAAGAGGAGGAGACAGGUGUGCACAGAGAAAAGGCCAUGUGAAUACACAGUGAGAAGGCCACUAUCUGCAAGCUAGGAAGAGGUCUCACAAAACCAACCCCUCUAGCACCUUGAUCUUGGACUUCCAGC
Eubalaena glacialis (North Atlantic right whale) is the source of this 3358-nucleotide long non-coding RNA. RefSeq lists it as uncharacterized. NCBI's taxonomy places the organism in Eukaryota, Metazoa, Chordata, Mammalia, Artiodactyla, Balaenidae. The transcript has 5 exons. The record is from RefSeq and is a predicted model, not a curated record.